AUCAGACAGAAAAAUAAAAGUGAAGGAAUAAAAAUCUAGGGUCUAACGUAAGGUUAGAUCUAGUAAAAGAUACACAAUAGUUUCCGGUGUAGAAACUAUUGUGCGAAAAAGAAUUAAUUAAGUGCUGAAAGCUUAACUGGAAAAGAAAAUAAAAAUAAAAAUAAAAACUGCAAUUAAAAGCAAAAACAGUAAAGAAAAAUAAUGGUAUGCUUGCACGGCUGGAAGAAGAAAAU
Molecule: long non-coding RNA, 233 nt
Filed under: Lathyrus oleraceus (garden pea)
Lineage: Eukaryota; Viridiplantae; Streptophyta; Magnoliopsida; Fabales; Fabaceae
Description: Pisum sativum (pea) long non-coding RNA (PSAT_LNC021267)
Source: RNAcentral